AGCGUCUUUUCCCAGCGUUGAUUUUCCUCUUGCUCAAGGCUAUGGCUUUGUAGAAAGGGCUGAGCGCCUUGGGGUAUGGAGCCGGGCUGCUCCUGUUUGAGUAGGGUUCACUUCCCUCUUUGUAAGGGUUUCCUUUCCAUUGCUUUCGCCUUAGUUAGGCGUCACCUGUUGUGCUGAUAAAUGCUGCCUUGAACUGACCCCCAAGCUCAUCUUUGCUUUCAAGAGACGGCCUGGACAAAGAUGACACUUAACUUCAAGCGUUCGCCAAAGACUUUGGUCCCAGGACAAGAGCCCAUGUUGCUGACUGACUCCUAAUGAGAUAGACUCCCAUAAACAACCAUCCACGGCUGUUUCCAGCGAGACCUGGGAUGGUUUGGAAUGACAAAACCCGGAAAUCCUGGUCUCGCGGAAAACUCUCGCCCCUCCACACUUGGCAAACAUGGCGGCAGCCAGCAUGCUGACUGUACACCAUCACCGUACAGGAAGCUGCCCCUAGCUCUGGGACUCUAUCGGCCAGAAGGCUAGAGCUGCGGAAGCAGGAAGUCUGCCCACCUUCUUUCCUGCAUGGAGAGGUGUCUUUGGAGUCAGUCAUUGAAGAUAGCAAAAACGGAGGUGGGGCGUGGAUUUCUGAAGCUGGGAAAACCUGUGUCGGCUGUUGUGAGGAUGGAAGAGUGAAAAGCAUUUUGAAAAUAUAGCGUAAAUGUCACACAUCACAAUAGAAAAAUGUGCUCCCAGCAAGAGACGGAACUUCCUCCAUGAGCUAGAUUAACCCAGCCCCGUACAUCUUGGGAAAAGGACGCUGGUUCAUUACCAUUCAAACUGUACCCCAAACUUCUGGAGACGCCAUCACACAGGGGCUGUGAAUGUCAGGGAUUUGCCCACUUCUCAAGGGAACAACA
Molecule: long non-coding RNA, 899 nt
Organism: Meriones unguiculatus (Mongolian gerbil)
Lineage: Eukaryota; Metazoa; Chordata; Mammalia; Rodentia; Muridae
Exons: 4
Source: RefSeq, a predicted model, not a curated record